This 1711-nucleotide long non-coding RNA is filed under the name Homo sapiens (human). RNAcentral describes it as "non-protein coding lnc-GNLY-3:1". The stretch from base 416 to 532 matches the Rfam family "Metazoan signal recognition particle RNA". Lineage: Eukaryota; Metazoa; Chordata; Mammalia; Primates; Hominidae. The record is from RNAcentral.
GGCAGACCCAGGACACUCUCACCACCUCCUUACCUUUUCCCCUGGAAAAAUCUUCUGGUUCUAUGGACACAUGGUUUGCAUUAGUCAGAAGAGCAUUUACACAAAACAGAAAACAAAAUACCCUGAGUCAGAGACAAGAUUUCUGUGGCCCUGGAGUGGCUCCCAGACAGCCCUAUACAGGAGGUGCUGCCCAUGGCCCCUGGGGACCCCUCCAGGGUAGGGGCUGAAAACCAGAAAAUAAUACAUGUUGAGAGGAUGUGGAGAAAUUGGAACCCUAGGUGCUUUGCUGCCGAGAAUGUGAAAUGGUGCAGUCACAGCAGUAUAGAAGACAGUGCCUUUCUCCUGACUGGAAUUGUGAAUCUUUUUCUUUUUUCAUUUGUGGUAAAAUACACAUAACCUAAAAUUUGCAUCCUAGGCCAGGAGUGGUGGCUCACGCCUGUAAUCCCAGCACUUUGGGAGGCCGAGACGGGUGGAUCACCUGAGGUCAGGAGUUCUAGACCAGCCUGGCCAACAUGGUGAAACCCCGUCUCUACUAAAAAUACCAAAAUUAGCUGGGCAUGCUAGCGGGUGCCUGUAAUCCCAACUACUUGGGAGGCUGAGGCAUGAGAAUUGCUUGAACCUGGGAGGUGGAGGUUGUGGUGAGCCGAGAUUGCGCCACUGCACUCCAGCCUGGCCGACAGACAGUGAAACUCCAUCUAAAAAAAAAAAAAAAAAAAAAAAUUUACAUUCUAACCGUUUCCAAGUGUACAUUCAGUGGCUUUAUGUACAUUCACAUUGAUGCGCAACCAUCACCACCAUCCAUCUCCAGAAUGCUUUUCACCUUCCCAAGCAGAAACUCUGUGCCCAUGAAACACUAACUCUCCUUUCCUCCCAUCCCCUGACAAUCAUUCUACUUCCCAUCUCUAACUCUCUUUUCCCCCAUCCCCUGACAAUCAUUCUACUUCUCCUCUCUAACUCUCCUUUCCCCCAUCCCCUGAUAAUCAUUCUACUUCCUGUCUCUAUGAUUUUCACUGUUCUGUGUCCCUCCUAGAAGUGGACUCAUAUAGUAUUUGUCUUUGGUGACUGGUUUAUUUCACUUAGCAGAGUGUCUUUUGGGUUCAUCCAUGUUAUCAUGCAUCUCUUAUAAUUUCCUUCCUUUUAAAGGCUGUGUGCAUACACCGCAUUUUGUUUAUGGAAUUAUGACCCUUUUAAAUGUCCCUAAAAUUGCACCUGUUGGCUGUAGCUGCGCCUAUAGGUUGUAGCUGGAGGACAUUCCUGCCCAUUGUUGGUUUCUGUUCCUUUCUGCCUUUCUGACCCAGCCUCCAACUGCUCCGGUCUAAGGAGAUAAGAAGCCACACAGGCCUCUGGCAGGGGCUGGGUCUCCUUUCUGCAGGAAGUGCUUCAGGCCCCUCUUCUUGGUCUCUCCCUGAAGUAAGAGGCCUCAAGUGGAGUCCUGAGGGGCAUGAUGAGGGCUGUGCCCUGAACAGGUGCAAAGUAUGGAGGGAAAAUGUGGAGCCUGAGGAAGGCAUCUUGAGGCUGGAGCAGGGAAGGCCGAGUGGGCACCUCCUUAGUUGAGCUGCCUUAGGACAAGGGAGCAGUGAUGGUGGCUUCAACAGGAAAAGAGAAGCUGAUUCUGACUGGAAGGGCACCAGCUGCCAUUCCUGCAGGAACGAACAAGUGUUUUCCCAGGAAGAUGGGGUCAGGUCGCUGAAUCUGAUGGGUCCUGGCUCUG